This 5023-nucleotide long non-coding RNA is filed under the name Homo sapiens (human). RNAcentral's name for it is "HSALNT0301127". Lineage: Eukaryota; Metazoa; Chordata; Mammalia; Primates; Hominidae. The record is from RNAcentral.
GUCCACCAGCCUUCUGAGUCAGCCCUGCCUCUCCUGGGGCGCGCGACUUUUCUGUUCAUACUGACCCUUAGGAAUCCAGGAAGCCUUCUCUGUUUAACAGCCUGACCAGCCUUUGAUGUCUAUACCGACUACUCACCCCCACCACAGCUCGCUCUCUCUCACACUGUCUACACUGACUUCUCAGUCCCACCACCUCUCGGUCUACACAUGCUGUCUACACAGACCCUAACUUCUAACCCUAAUAGAAGAGAUUUGGCCAGAGGCGUGUGGGACCCCCAAUGAGGGCUUUUCCAUUAUGCUAGAAUAUUUCACUCUGGGCACAGUCUUCUCCACCCCGACCGCUCUCCUAAUCUGGUUUUUAUUCCCCGACCUCUCCCUCCUCCCCUACAUCCCCUUUACCUGGUUUUGAGUUUCAGAGGAAAUAUCUGUACCUGCCCUCCUCCUCCACCCCUGUCUGAAUGUAAAGGCCUGAGGGCCCAAUCCUCAUCCUCCACCCUCCCUCCGCUCCCCCGGGUAAAGGCCUGAGGCCUGAGGCCUUGCUAGAAAUUGGAGUUGGGGUGCUGUAGGUAGUGUGGGGAGCUGGCUGUGGGGGCCCAGCUGGGAGGAGCUGGCCUGGGGAGGGCUUUGCCAGUCCUUGCCUCCAUCUACCAGGGCCAAGGAGGACUGAGCCGGUAAAUAUUUUCUUCUCAGCUCCCCCCCUGUGAUGUCUGAUCCAGGCCUCUGCUCUCCUUGGCUGUAAACUCAGCGCACGGAUUGUGUCUUCUUUAAUAUUUUGUAGGAAGCAGAGUACAGUGUCGUGGCUGAUAAAUAAUAAAUAAUAAUAAUCUACUGAGGGUAGCAGGAGCACUGUCAGAAAUGGAAUGAGGACGCCGGGGAAAUGGCCCACUAGUGUCAGAAUAACUGCAUUUCCUGGAAAAAACAUCCAACAGAGUUUGUGUGUGUGAAGCCCGGGACUCAAGGGAGGGGACAGAGCGGAGCACUUCAGGGAGGAAGCCACCCUUCAUGAGGACGACAGCCAGGAAAACUGGCGUGACCUUAAGAGAGGGUGACAGAGGUGCCGAAAAGGGGAGCAGGAGUGGGGGGGAGGGGGAGAAAAGCUCCCCAAGGGUCCUCAGACAACACCUGAAGGUGAUCGAUAGCUUUGGUUUGAGUACUAUGUCCUUCAAAUGGUAUAUGAAAAGUGAUAGAAGAGUACUAGAUAGCAAAAUGGAAAAAAGAGGGAUUUCUUGGGAUUUCAAAUUGAUACACAGGUCAACCCAAUGCAAAAAGAAGGAGAACAAAGCCACAGGCGUGUGUCUGUUCAUCCACGCUGUAGGAAGCUGUCCUCUGAGAUAAUCUCCAUGGAUGCACUGACUGUGAACAUGCAGAAGUCCACCCAGCCGUAUUCUGGAGUAGCGCCCUAUGUGACAGCUGUAGGCACUACAGAAAUGUGGCCAAGGUUUGCAGGGUCUGGGAUAGGUUAAGAUCUGGCAAUGUGAGGCACUCACAGUGUCUUACAGAUGAUUUUGAAUGAUCCUCAGUUGAAAGAAGAAAAUAGGAACUCCAAGAAUCCUUAUUCAGCUACCUCUCCAGAUGAAGGAGAAAGGAUGCUCCCAAUUUCCCUGCUGGCAGCAUCAGAAAAGAGAGCUGUGCUGAGGUCUUAUCCAGAGGAGGACCUACUCGGGCCAUGGUGGUGCGAAGGGCGCUGGUUCUGGGGCACCGCAAACUCUUCAGGGCUGAAGUUUGGUAACAGCUCACCAGGGGAGCCAGCUUGUCAGGGAGAAUGAGAAAAGCUGUGUGAAUUAGACUCCCAGUGGGCUUGUCUACCCUGUCCUCACCCAUCCUCGUUUUAUCCAAGGCUUCCUCGUCAUUGAUGCUCUGCCCUGCUGGGAGCUGUUUAGUGUGGACACAGCCAUUUAUGAAGGGUCUGCGCUGGUCUGCAUAUGAGUUCCAUUUCAGAGUGCUGUUGUUCACAUGAUCUGUCCCAGCGCAUCUAGUGUCUUGGCAACAUAAACUGGAUUUGCAUUGUGUCAGGGGUCUCCUCUCUCUCUCUCUCUACGUAGAUCUUGCUGGUGUCUGGGAUCUUUUUUGGGUCAUUCUUUGCUCUACUCUGUGGCCCAUGGGAUGGGCCCCAUGACUGGCAUGGAUCUCUCUGUGUGGUUCAUGGGACUCGUGUGUUGUGCCCAGAAACCUCUUACACCAUGGUCAAAGAUUUCUCCAUGAAACACAGGAUUGACUUGGUGGUGUGUUCUCCAAAAGCCAACCCUCCCUGUCCUGAGCCCCAAUCUGGGCACUGGGAUCAGGACUAAUGUGUACACUCCAAGCAGAUGGGUAGUGAAGGAGCGGACUCAUAGUGCAUAGGGAAGUGGACUGGAACACUCCAGGACAUCCAUUCCCCGCUCAGAUCAUAGACCAUUAUCUGUGCAGUCAAUCAGACAAGGACUUGUACUGGAAAGGCCACCAUCACCCAAGGAGGAACCAGAGGAAGUCACAUCAGGAACACCUGGGGUGCCACAUAAACCCACAGUGGCCAAGGUGGACUUCUGUCCUUGUCUGUGUUUAUGAUAAUAGCCACAACAAAAGGACCUUUACCCAGUGGCUACUAUAUGUCAGGCACUGUACCAAGAACUCUACCCAUGAUAUCUUGUUAAUCCUCACAGCAACCUGUGGAAUUGGUGUUAUCAGCCCCCAAAACUGAGUUCCAGAGAGGGUAGAUGAGAACCUGCAAUCACACAGUAAGUGACAGUGCUGGAAUUUCAGCCUGAUUGUCCCAAAGCCUCUGUUCUUUUUACCCCACCAAACACACAAAUGCAGUUUCUUUUGUCAUUAGCCCAGUGCUUUUCCCUUGGAGUAGAUACAGUAGAUGCUGAUUUUUGCCUUCAUCAGCAAAAGUCUUUACCCCAGACACAUAACUGGAGAUCAGUCAUAGAACAGAGAGCACUAAUGUAGAAGGGCACAGGUCCCUUUGAUUACUGAACACUCAGGUCACUCGGAAGAGUGGAAGCCUCAUCAGAAACCUUCGGGUUUGACAGGACAUCUGUUUCCAGGAGCACGGUGGGUGUAAACAGAGCAGCUGCCAGCCUCUGUCCUGGUUGGGGUUUUGUGUUUGCUGGUUUUUCUUUUUUUUUUUUUUUAAACACAUUAUACUCUAUUAAAACCACCCCUAUUUGGCAUCAAAAGCAUUAAUAAAUCCCACAUAAGGCACAGUCCCUCCAGUGGUUAAUCAAUCCAUAAAAAUCUAUUUAGCACCUACUGUGUGUCCAGCAUUUCAAUCCCAUGACGUUGAUUAAAGCAGGAAGUAAGGAGUCACAGCUGCCAAAUUUUCACCAUGGCCACCGUGCUCUGUGAUGUGUCACAAAGGCAUUUGCCAAUCAUGCAAUCAACCAUUUACUGAGAACCUGCUUUGUUGCUCAACUCUGUGCUGGCGACUCUCAGGAAGACAGGGAAGGGAUCUUGGAAGCCCCAUGUUGAAGGUGGCAGAGCAACAAAAAUUGAGGAAACCCUGAAUCCCUGAAUUACUAUUUGGAGAUGACCACCCACUAAUUCGGAACACUCAUUAUUGGGCUUUAGGAGAAUGAGAAGUUCUAUCAUGUUUGAGACUCCGUACAUCUUUGGAUUUGUUUUAACAGCUAGUUUUACCCUGGCUAACAUGGCAAUUGACAGCCUCUGAGAGGAGAUUUGGAGAAUCUGCUUUUUUAACAAGUACUCCAGGGGAGUUUGAGAAUCACUGCUGAAAGCCAAGGGGAGCCAGCCACCCAAGGAUUUAACGCUGACCAAGGAACACCACGCUAUUUGCAUUUUAGAAUGACAGCAAGGGAGCAGAACUCUGCCCCCUUCUUGUCUGCCAAGGAGAACAAUCUACUGACUCAAAAGAAAAAGAAAACUUUGGUAAGAGAAAAUUGAAGCUCUAGAUGAGUGAAAAGAUUCUAACAGCACCAAGCUGCCGUAAAUGAGCUCAAGUCUCCUGGCCAGGACAAAUUACACUCCAGGGAGUAGAGAGAACUCGCCUCUGAAGCUGUAAAGCCUCUGCUGAUAAUCUUUACAGAACAUGGAGACUGUGAAAGAAAUUGGAACGCUAGAAAUGGCAAAAUAUAGCUCUGAUUAGUAAAGAGGGGGAAAGCUUCUGCAAACUACAAAAGUGGGGCUAUCCUAUCCAUCCUCAUUAAAUUCCCUGAUCAGACUACUUAAGGCUGAGCUGUGAGUACGUGAAAAAUGGAGCAGAAUCCUCUAGAAGCCUGUGUGGGUUCUUUAAGAGCAAGCCACGACAAGAUGAAAAAACAAGAGCCUAAAGAAGGGAGGCAACUUUUCCAAAGCCACACAUUAAACCUGUGGCAGUUAAGAGCCAGAACUGUGGUAUCCUGGCCCUCAGCCCCACACCUCUACUGCAAUACCUGGGAUGUGGGCCCAUGGAUUGAUUUAUGGAUUUUGACUAACAUAUCUUCAAUUGAGCAAUCACUCGGAUGAUCGAUUGAACACUCCUUCACCAAACAAGGCUGGAGGCCUGGGAUGGACGCCGGUGGUUUGAGAUAUGCAGAAGAAAUGGGUCCUGCCCUCCGGAACACUCCAGAGAAUAUCAUGGCACUUUAUAACAUCAGUGUCAAUCAGCAUUGAUUGACAAGCCCCCUGGACUUUGGAUGACUUCUCUGAAGCCCCAGCUGUGCCUGGCUGGGCCAUCUCCCUUCUCCACUUGGCCACAGCAUAAACUGCAGUCAAGCCACAGGAGUGACCUCAAGGCCUCAGGCCACUUUUCCAGCCUCAGCUUUUCUUAGGGGCCCAGCCCACUUACAAUAGAAAUUUGCCAAAGACUGGGUUGGUAAGUAAUGGAUAAGUUUUCAUAUUUACUAUUUUCAUUUCUGAAUCUCUCUUUACAUGCAGUUAAGCCAGGAAAUCCUGAAAGAACACUCUUCAGAAUGUUUUUAAGUAAAACAACAAGUUUCUGUUAAUUUAGGGCCAACCCAUGAGUAAACAGAUAGAGCCUGAGGUAUUCUGCACCCUGUAAUUUGUGGACUUCUUAGGAUCUUUUAAAAUAAAGAUGAAUAGUGGG